GUAGAGGGGCGCAAGAGACAAAGGAAGAAGCUCUCAUUCCGGCUAGCAUCGGCAUCUAGAGAGGUUCUCUUUUGUUGACGCGCAUGUGUCAUUUUUGACUUAUGUAACCAGAUAUCAUACAACUUUGAUAUGGUUUUAAAGUUGUUCGUUUUUCUGAAUCCGGCAAAAAAGCCGUUUUUUUUCACCCUUUCUUCUUUACGGAGACUUUUUCGAACUUAUAGUUUGAAAUAUAAAAUCGAGUAAUUAGUGGGACGAGAAAAUUUAUUUUCUCGACAUUUUUUUGUGUCGUCGUCUCACCCGUUUUUUUUUUUUUAAAUUUUAUUAAUUCAAUGUCGGCUCAAUCCGGCUCGAUCUGGCGCUUCGUUUUUUUUAAUCCGUCUUGGCAACAGGAUUUGAUACAAGUUUUAAAAAAAUAACGUUCUCCUCCUCGUCGCCUUGAUUUGCUCUGCCACGGGUAUGGCUUUUUUAUACAGAAAUUUUUUGAUUUCAUGAAAAUAUUGAAACUAUAAAAAAAAUUACGUUUGAUUUAAAAGGGUUUCCAGCGAAUAGUAAGGACAGGAGAUUGGAAUUCUUGUAAUGGGAUAAAAAUACAUAAUUACAGUAAUUAUACCAAAGGCAUGUUCUUUUGAUAUAUGUUGAAUUGACCAUAAAACAGGUCUGGUCCAACUGGUCUGGGAAGGGCCCGGGAUUUGGGGGUGCGGAUGAUGGCGAAUGAUGUUUGACGGGGGCAGCACGUUCUGCCAACAACUUGAUUUCCCCCAAAAUUGUGAGUUGCUGUCGGAGCAGCUCCUCCAACGGCCUCAAGUUGGGUGGAGGAGCUGCUGCAGCUGCUGCGGGAGGGGGGUUGAAAUAUUCGACCACGUCAUUCCACCAUUUCACUGAAAUAAUAAAAAUAAAAAAAAUAAUAAAUAAAAAUCUAAAAAAAAUAAAAAAAUAAAAAAAAUAAUACUCACAAUUACGUAGGAGUCGACCCCCAAACAUCUUUAAAAAAGGCCAUAUGAUAUACUUGCACGCAAUCAGAAUUAAGAUUCCAUACGAACUUCGAAGAAAUUUCAGAUCCAUAUCAAGCACUGCUUGACCUGCUGCUCCCGCUAGCCGUUCAACAUUCACAAACUUGUAGGACGGGGGCAACACGAUCAACUAACAACAAACCCCUGAUUUCCCCCAUCACUAAGAGCUGCUGUUGGAGUAGCUCCUCCAACGGCCUCAAGUUGGGUGGAGGAGCUGGAGGAGCUGCUUCGGGAGGGGGGUUGAAAUAACGGACUGCGUCAUUCCACCAUCUCCCUGAAAUAAUAAAAAUAAAAAAAUAAAUAAAUAAAAAAAUAAAAAUAAAUAAAAAAAAAAUAAUACUUACAAUUGCGUAGGAGUCGACCCCCCAACAAUUUGAUGAAGGGCCAUAUGAUAUACUUAACCGCAAUCACGAUUAAGAUGCCAUAGGAGCUUCGAAGAAAUUUUAGGUCGAUGUCAAGCACAGCUUGACCUGCUGCUCCCGCAAGGCCAUCAACAUUGACAAACUUUGGAUCUACUUCUGCAAAAUAAAAAAAAAAAAAAAUAAACAUAUAUUUUUAACACGCAUAACUUAUUAUUUACCAAUUGGCCUGGCAGCCGCACCAGGCAAAAGAAGAAGAAGACUACCAGUUGCCAAGAUGGUAGCCAGUAGUCGGUGGUUCCAUUUGUUUAAAAAUGGUUGGAUAGACGUAUGUAGCUUGGUCCAGUUUGACAGGUGAAAAUAUAAUUAUCAAAUUAAUUAUCACAUGGAUCGAAUCCAUCGUUAUCAACUGCUGAAUUUUGCCAUGGCACGGCGCCCUCCUCCGAAUUGAAGUAGUUUUUGAAAGAAUCGCGGACUGCUUUUGUUUCAUGACAAAUACGACAUCUUCUAUUCAACAUCUUUUAAUUUCUAGGUUCGCAAUGGCAAUUAGCUUGAAUCGGGGAAUAAAACAAAAAAGAAACAUAUUGCGUUUUCUGGGGGGGGGGGGAUUCCUGCAACACCAGUUGGUGGGUGUCCCGGGAAAUUCGCAAUGGCCAUUAGCUUGAAUCAAGGACAUUUUAAAAAUUGUGUGUUCUUUUUGUUUUUUUAUUAUGAAAUUGAAAAAAUAAAUAAAAUCUUUCAUUAAAUUCUGGUAGCCGGUUUUCUUUAUUUUUAAUAUAAUUUAUGUAUAAAAAACUAAGCCCCAAGGGGUCGAAACUGAGGAGGAAAACCGGCGUUUUAUUUUAAUAAAAAUCGACCAACCCCAAUCCAAGUCCCGAGGGCGAUAAAUCAACGACAUGGACAAGUCGCUAUCAGAAAUCUUUGGUGAAAAUUGCGGCAGCGUCGCGGCGAGAAGCUUGUUUGUGACGCCAUUCAUAAGGCAAAAAGAUCCCGGCUUUUCAUUUCGAAGUGUAAAAUCUUACUAUUUUAAAAACAGAAACGAAAUGAGUUUUCGGCGUGGACGUGGUGUUGGCAAUGGAAGGUUUCCGGUGGGAGAGAUAUGGACAGCGGACGGGGAAGAGGUGGAGGCAGAGAUAGUGGCCCACCAAGAGGAGCAGACAGGCUUUAAAAUCACACUUCUGACGCAUCAAUGGCCAGUGCCCGAAUUUUUGUGGGAAACCUGCCCACCAAUGACCCUAGACUCACCAAAGAGUUGCUAGAAGAGAAUUUAAGUCAAUACGGACACAUAAUGGGCAUAUCCAUUCUGAAAGGCUUCAGAUUCAUCCAAUACGCUGAUGAAAUCAGUGCAGAGCAUGCCAUUAGAGGAGCUCAGAACAUGGAAAUCCUUGCUCACCGAAUGGGUAAAUUGCAGUCGAGAGUGAAAACAUGUGGAGCCAGUUG
RNAcentral lists this long non-coding RNA (2809 nucleotides) under Daphnia pulex (common water flea). RNAcentral's name for it is "uncharacterized LOC124204352". Lineage: Eukaryota; Metazoa; Arthropoda; Branchiopoda; Diplostraca; Daphniidae. The record is from RNAcentral.